This 449-nucleotide ribosomal RNA is filed under the name uncultured bacterium. RNAcentral's name for it is "partial 16S ribosomal RNA". It matches the Rfam family "Bacterial small subunit ribosomal RNA", at positions 29 to 523 of the family's 1533-position model. The record is from RNAcentral.
AACGAACGCUGGCGGCAUGCCUAACACAUGCAAGUCGAACGAGAUCUUCGGGUCUAGUGGCGCACGGGUGCGUAACGCGUGGGAAUCUGCCCUUUGGUUCGGAAUAACAGUUGGAAACGACUGCAAAUACCGGAUGAUGACGAAGGUCCCAAGAUUUAUCGCCAGCGGAGGAGCCCGCGUAGGAUUAGCUAGUUGGUGUGGUAAAAGCGCACCAAGGCGACGGUCCUUAGCUGGUCUGAGAGGAUGAUCAGCCACACCGGGACUGAGACGCGGCCCAGACUCAUACGGGAGGCAGCAGUGGGGAAUAUUGGACAAUGGGCGAAAGCCUGAUCCAGCAAUGCCGCGUGAGUGAUGAAGGCCUUAGGGUUGUAAAGCUCUUUUACCCGGGAUGAUAAUGACAGUACCGGGAGAAUAAGCUCUGGCUAACUCCGUGCCAGCCGCCGCAGUAA